UACGGAGGGUGCGAGCGUUGUUCGGAAUCACUGGGCGUAAAGGGCGUGUAGGCGGUCCGCUAAGUCUGAUGUGAAAGCCCGGGGCUCACCCCCGGAAGGGCAUUGGAAACUGACGGACUCGAGUCCCGAAGAGGAGGGUGGAAUUCCUGGUGUAGCGGUGAAAUGCGCAGAUAUCAGGAGGAACACCGGUGGCGAAGGCGGAUCUCUGGGCCGAUACUGACGCUGAGGAGCGAAAGCGUGGGGAGCGAACAGG
This 253-nucleotide ribosomal RNA is filed under the name uncultured bacterium. RNAcentral's name for it is "partial 16S ribosomal RNA". It matches the Rfam family "Bacterial small subunit ribosomal RNA", at positions 524 to 776 of the family's 1533-position model. The record is from RNAcentral.